AAACUUUCAACAACGGAUCUCUUGGUUCUCGCAUCGAUGAAGAACGCAGCGAAAUGCGAUACGUAAUAUGAAUUGCAGAUAUUCGUGAAUCAUCGAAUCUUUGAACGCACAUUGCGCCCUUUGGUAUUCCAAAGGGCAUGCCUGUUUGAGCGUCAUUUC
RNAcentral lists this ribosomal RNA (159 nucleotides) under Candida tropicalis. RNAcentral describes it as "5.8S ribosomal RNA". It matches the Rfam family "5.8S ribosomal RNA". Rfam says of the family: 5.8S ribosomal RNA (5.8S rRNA) is a component of the large subunit of the eukaryotic ribosome. It is transcribed by RNA polymerase I as part of the 45S precursor that also contains 18S and 28S rRNA. The record is from RNAcentral. Lineage: Eukaryota; Fungi; Ascomycota; Pichiomycetes; Serinales; Debaryomycetaceae.